GACGAACGCUGGCGGCGUGCCUAAUACAUGCAAGUCGAGCGAUUCUCUUCGGAGAAGAGCGGCGGACGGGUGAGUAACGCGUGGGUAACCUGCCCUGUACACACGGAUAACAUACCGAAAGGUAUGCUAAUACGGGAUAACAUAAGAAAUUCGCAUGUUUUUCUUAUCAAAGCUCCGGCGGUACAGGAUGGACCCGCGUCUGAUUAGCUAGUUGGUGAGGUAACGGCUCACCAAGGCAACGAUCAGUAGCCGACAUGAGAGGGUGAUCGGCCACAUUGGAACUGAGACACGGUCCAAACUCCUACGGGAGGCAGCAGUGGGGAAUAUUGCACAAUGGGCGAAAGCCCGGUGCAGCAACGCCGCGUGAGCGAUGAAGGCCUUCGGGUCGUAAAGCUCUGUCCUCAAGGAAGAUAAUGACGGUACUUGAGGAGGAAGCCCCGGCUAACUACGUGCCAGCAGCCGCAGUAA
This 468-nucleotide ribosomal RNA is filed under the name uncultured bacterium. RNAcentral's name for it is "partial 16S ribosomal RNA". It matches the Rfam family "Bacterial small subunit ribosomal RNA", at positions 28 to 523 of the family's 1533-position model. The record is from RNAcentral.